CCCAAAGCGUAACGGAGGAGCACGAAGGUUAGCUAAUCCUGGUCGGACAUCAGGAGGUUAGUGCAAUGGCAUAAGCUAGCUUGACUGCGAGCGUGACGGCGCGAGCAGGUGCGAAAGCAGGUCAUAGUGAUCCGGUGGUUCUGAAUGGAAGGGCCAUCGCUCAACGGAUAAAAGGUACUCCGGGGAUAACAGGCUGAUACCGCCCAAGAGUUCAUAUCGACGGCGGUGUUUGGCACCUCGAUGUCGGCUCAUCACAUCCUGGGGCUGAAGUAGGUCCCAAGGGUAUGGCUGUUCGCCAUUUAAAGUGGUACGCGAGCUGGGUUUAGAACGUCGUGAGACAGUUCGGUCCCUAUCUGCCGUGGGCGCUGGAGAAUUGAGGGGGGCUGCUCCUAGUACGAGAGGACCGGAGUGGACGCAUCACUGGUGUUCGGGUUGUCAUGCCAAUGGCACUGCCCGGUAGCUAAAUGCGGAAGAGAUAAGUGCUGAAAGCAUCUAAGCACGAAACUUGCCCCGAGAUGAGUUCUCCCUGAGACUU
This 535-nucleotide ribosomal RNA is filed under the name Klebsiella pneumoniae. RNAcentral's name for it is "partial 23S ribosomal RNA". It matches the Rfam family "Bacterial large subunit ribosomal RNA", at positions 2289 to 2823 of the family's 2925-position model. Lineage: Bacteria; Pseudomonadati; Pseudomonadota; Gammaproteobacteria; Enterobacterales; Enterobacteriaceae. The record is from RNAcentral.